This 445-nucleotide ribosomal RNA is filed under the name uncultured bacterium. RNAcentral's name for it is "partial 16S ribosomal RNA". It matches the Rfam family "Bacterial small subunit ribosomal RNA", at positions 354 to 796 of the family's 1533-position model. The record is from RNAcentral.
GUGAGGAAUAUUGCGCAAUGGAGGCAACUCUGACGCAGCCAUGCCGCGUGCAGGAAGAAGGCGCUACGCGUUGUAAACUGCUUUUAACCGGGAAGAAACCCCAGGACGUGUCCUGGGUUGACGGUACCGGAGGAAUAAGCACCGGCUAACUUCGUGCCAGCAGCCGCGGUAAUACGAAGGGUGCAAGCGUUAUCCGGAUUCAUUGGGUUUAAAGGGUGCGUAGGCGGGGCGUUAAGUCAGUGGUGAAAUCCUGCAGCUUAACUGUAGACUUGCCAUUGAUACUGGCGCUCUUGAGUGCGCUUGAAGUGGGCGGAAUGUGCCGUGUAGCGGUGAAAUGCUUAGAUAUGGCACAGAACACCAAUUGCGAAGGCAGCUCACUAAGGCGAUACUGACGCUGAGGCACGAAAGCGUGGGGAUCGAACAGGAUUAGAUACCCCAGUAGUCC